RNAcentral lists this ribosomal RNA (484 nucleotides) under uncultured bacterium. Its description in RNAcentral is "partial 16S ribosomal RNA". It matches the Rfam family "Bacterial small subunit ribosomal RNA", at positions 29 to 507 of the family's 1533-position model. The record is from RNAcentral.
AUUGAACGCUGGCGGCAUGCUUUACACAUGCAAGUCGAACGGCAGCGCGGGCUUCGGCCUGGCGGCGAGUGGCGAACGGGUGAGUAAUACAUCGGAACGUGCCCAGUAGUGGGGGAUAGCUCGGCGAAAGCCGGAUUAAUACCGCAUACGACCUGAGGGUGAAAGCGGGGGAUCUUCGGACCUCGCGCUAUUGGAGCGGCCGAUGGCAGAUUAGCUAGUUGGUGGGGUAAAGGCCUACCAAGGCGACGAUCUGUAGCUGGUCUGAGAGGAGGACCAGCCACACUGGGACUGAGACACGGCCCAGACUCCUACGGGAGGCAGCAGUGGGGAAUUUUGGACAAUGGGCGAAAGCCUGAUCCAGCAAUACCGCGUGUGUGAUGAAGGCCUUCGGGUUGUAAAGCACUUUUGGCGGGAACGAAAAGGACUGUGCCAAUACCACGGUUCGAUGACGGUACCCGCAGAAUAAGCACCGGCUAACUACGUG